UGAGGCGAUGACGUCCUCCCCCUUAGGGUCUGGGUGGGAGUUGGUGCCUUUCGGUUCCCGGUCGCGUGUGGCCGAGGCUGUCCCCCCCUCUGAGGGGGCUGUGGUGUUGGGGGGCUGUUCGGUGAUGAGUCCAUUCACAGACCUGAACUGACUGCGGUGUGAAGGCUUGUAGUGUCUCUGAGGAGAGCGGACUCCAGGGGGGAGGCUGCGGUGCCUUCCCACGCCUUGCUAGGCGGUGGGGGAAUCUUACCUAUACCCUUUCUGUGUUUCUAACGGCUUUUUUUCUUUGCUUUUUAGGCUUUCAGCCCUCCAAAUGGAUUUUCUGUCAGAGAUAAGGAACCGCUCGGCCACGGGUUCCUGCAGCUCCUUUACAGCCUGGGGGAGCGGGACCUGCUGCUGCAGCGGGGCGGGAUGAUUGGGCCGCUCUUUCCUGCUGAGCCCCAAAACACCGUGAAUUAACCCCAGGGUUGGAGAUGGCACCCCAAAGGCCCCGCGGGGUUCCCCCCCACGCAGCCGCUGUCACGGGGAGGAUCCGGUGAGGUCCCGGAGGAGAAGGGGGAGCUGCGGGAGUCAGGGUGACAGUGGGGUCCGGUGACACCCGUGGGGACCCCCGGAGGAGGUAUGUAAAUGGGGGGGUGUGUGUGUGGUGGCCUUUUACCUCAUCGAUGAUGUCAUUACCCCCAAUUUGAGGGAACCCCCCCAAUUUUAGUGAUGAGGUCAACUAGCUCACUUUGACCCCCCUGAAAACACCCGAACACCUG
Gavia stellata (red-throated loon) is the source of this 761-nucleotide long non-coding RNA. RefSeq lists it as uncharacterized. The transcript is spliced from 6 exons. Lineage: Eukaryota; Metazoa; Chordata; Aves; Gaviiformes; Gaviidae. The record is from RefSeq and is a predicted model, not a curated record.